RNAcentral lists this long non-coding RNA (1057 nucleotides) under Papio anubis (olive baboon). Its description in RNAcentral is "lncRNA (ENSPANG00000038660.1)". Lineage: Eukaryota; Metazoa; Chordata; Mammalia; Primates; Cercopithecidae. The record is from RNAcentral.
CCUCGCUAUGUCACCCAGGCUGGAGUGCAGUGGCACAAUCUCGGCUCACUGCAAGAUCCACCUCCCGGAUUCACACCAUUCUCGUGCCUCGGCCUCCUGAGUAACUGGGACUACAGGCGCCCACCACCAUGCCCAGCUGGGGAAGGGCUUUGGGAGGCCAAGGUGGGAGGAUUGCUUGAGUCCAGGAGUUUGAGACGAGCCUGGGCAACAUAGCAAGACCUCAUCUCUACAAAAAAUUUAAAAAUUAGCUAGACAUGGUGACAUGUGCCCCUAGCCUUAGCUAGUUGGGAAGCUGAGACAGGAGGAUACCUUGAGCUCAGGAGUUCAAAGUUACAGUGGGCUAUGAUCACGCUGCUACACUGCAGCCUGGGUAACACGAUGAGACUGUAUCUCUAAAAAAAAAAAAAAAUGGCCGGGCAGGUGGCUCACGUCUAUAAUCCCAGCACUUUGGGAGGUUGAGGCAGGUGGAUCAUCUGAUGUCAGGAGUUCAAGACCAACCUGGCCAAAAAGGAAAAACCCUGUCUCUACUAAAAAUACAAAAAAAUUAGCCGGGUGUGGUGGUGCAUGCCGGUAAUCCCAGCUACUUGGGAGGCUGAGGUGGGAGAAUUGCUUGAACCCAGGAGGCAGAGGUUGCAGUGAGCCAAGUUCGGGCCAUUGCACUCCAUCCUGGGAAACAGAGCAAGAGGCCAUCUCAAAAAAAAAAAAAAAAAGGCAAAGAAUUUGAACAGACAUUUGUACAAAGAAAAUAUGUCAAUGGCCAAUAAGCACAUGAAAAGAUGUUCAACAUCAUUCAUCAUUGGUUAUUAGAGAAAUGCAAAUCAAAACCACAAUGAGAUGCCACUUCACACCACUGACUUCUGGGGAAGGAAGAGGGUAUAGGACAUUGAGUUCAACCAAUGAUUGAUACCCAGCCAACAGCCAAUGAUUCAAUCAAUCAUGCUUACAUAAUGAAGCCCCAGUAAAAACUCUGGACAGGCUGGGCAUGGUGGCUCAUGCCUGUAACUCCAGCACUUUGGGAGGCCGAGGGGGGCAGAUCACGAGGUCAGGAGAUUGAGAC